RNAcentral lists this ribosomal RNA (446 nucleotides) under uncultured bacterium. Its description in RNAcentral is "partial 16S ribosomal RNA". It matches the Rfam family "Bacterial small subunit ribosomal RNA", at positions 330 to 792 of the family's 1533-position model. The record is from RNAcentral.
GCCAGACUCCUACGGGAGGCAGCAGUGGGGAAUAUUGCACAAUGGGGGAAACCCUGAUGCAGCAACGCCGCGUGAGUGAAGAAGUAUUUCGGUAUGUAAAGCUCUAUCAGCAGGGAAGAAGAAAGACGGUACCUGACUAAGAAGCCCCGGCUAACUACGUGCCAGCAGCCGCGGUAAUACGUAGGGGGCAAGCGUUAUCCGGAUUUACUGGGUGUAAAGGGGGCGCAGACGGCGAUGCAAGCCAGGAGUGAAAGCCCGGGGCCCAACCCCGGGACUGCUCUUGGAACUGCGUGGCUGGAGUGCAGGAGGGGCAGGCGGAAUUCCUGGUGUAGCGGUGAAAUGCGUAGAUAUCAGGAGGAACACCGGUGGCGAAGGCGGCCUGCUGGACUGCAACUGACGUUGAGGCCCGAAAGCGUGGGGAGCAAACAGGAUUAGAUACCCUGGUA